Molecule: ribosomal RNA, 565 nt
Filed under: uncultured bacterium
Lineage: Bacteria
Description: bacterial SSU rRNA
Rfam family: Bacterial small subunit ribosomal RNA
Source: RNAcentral
CCUACGGGAGGCAGCAGCAGGGAAUAUUGUGCAAUGAGCGAAAGCUUGACACAGCGACACCGCGUGUGGGAUGACGGUUCUAGGAUUGUAAACCACUUUCAGGAGGGAAGAAAAUGACGGUACCUCCACAAGGAGACCCGGCCAACUAUGUGCCAGCAGCCGCGGUAAUACAUAGGGGUCAAGCGUUGUCCGGAUUUAUUGGGCGUAAAGAGCUCGUAGGCGGUUCAACAAGUCGGUCGUAAAAGUUUAGGGCUCAACCCUAAAAUGUCGAUCGAUACUGUUGUGACUAGGAUACGGUAGAGGUGAAUGGAAUUCCGAGUGUAGCGGUGAAAUGCGUAGAUAUUCGGAGGAACACCAAUUGCGAAGGCAGUUCACUGGACCGUGAUCGACGCUGAGGAGCGAAAGCUAGGGGAGCAAACAGGAUUAGAUACCCUGGUAGUCCUAGCUGUAAACGAUGGAUACUAGAUGUAGGAACUGGAUUGACGGUUUCUGUAUCGUAGCUAACGCGUUAAGUAUCCCGCCUGGGGAGUACGGUCGCAAGACUAAAACUCAAAGGAAUUGACGG